GGGCUCGCGGGCGCACGAAAUCGGCGCUUUCAAAUGCCGGCAGAUUUCCCCACUUUCGAAUGCAUUUCGCUUCCACGGUAACCAAAGGCGCGUUCUGUAAACAAUGCACUGCCGAUUGGCGCGAGCGCUGAAAUCAGACCACCGAAGCAGCACAAAUAUUGUAUCUGAUGUUAAUAAAAAUCCAGGAUUCAAAAGAAAAUUUCAUUGUCUUUCUCAUGAGAACCUCUUUUUUUCCCCGUAAGUCCUCUGUUUUUCAGAAACUGACAAAACUCUCGAGCGUAUGAUUGUCAAUCGAUCAGAAUUUUCUGGCGAGUGGGAUAUCUACUCGAGCGUCCUCUGUAAAAACACGAGAAAAUAACCUAUCAAAUCAGACGAACAAACAAAACUUUCAUGAACAUUUUCUUUGUUAUGCUUUUCUGUGUAUAUGUCUUGAAAAUCAGCUCGUCUAACCUAAAGCUUUUCAAGUUAUUAAAGUUUUUGUGAGGUUCUCUAUUUCGCAUCUAGUCGGAAAAUGAGAUGGUUCGAGCGUAUAACGGGGAUCGAGCGAAUGAGUAUCGAUUUGAUAUCUAAAUGAGAUUUUUGGCCGAUAGUAUUUCGGCAGAGGAUCGAGUAACUAUUGAUCUGUCUUUCCGGAAAUUUCUCAGCCAAAGGACAAAAUGGCGACUGUUAAUCUCUGCUUUGAAGGGAGAAAUUUUCGCGCGCGUCCAGCGUUUCUCGAAGAUGUGAUGUUAGGACGAAUCCGCAAGGAUUGAAUGAGUAAUAUUUUCUUUUUUGAUUUUCAUUGAUUUAAAAAUCCUGAAAGAACAAAAUGUUUAAUAUAGAUUCAAGUAAACGUUCUAUAAAAUCCAUCGACUUUAGUUUGGUUUUUGUGAAGUUAUUAGCUUUCAAAGUCAGAGCAAGCGUAAUUCUCAGUCCACUUUGCCGUGGUUCCCAAUUGUUCAACCGUAGGCCCACUCUAUUUCAUAUAUUCAUAAAUUCUUAUUUUGUUAUUUGAGAGUGUUUUUUGUACUUCACCCGCUAAAACCUGAACAGAGGGAAAUUUGUUUACUUAAGCUAUGUUCUUGUUAACUCUUCCAUCCUAAAUCAGCACAACUAAUUCAAAACAAACGAUAUUCCUGGAUUGAGUUUGCUCUUAGGGCUGGACCCUUCACAGAAUGUAGUUGUAGAAUAUCAUCUGAAGGCUGGAUGACACUUGCUUGUAGGUUUUUCCUUAGGUUUUAAUUUAACUUUUGGAAUGUGACAGGUCCAACAUCUAUUUUAUUUGUAUUAGUGCCUUCACAUAUGGAAAAAGGGUGCCCUUUACUUUGCUCCUAUUUCUUGAGUGACCUACUGUAUGGAGAACUUGGCAGUUGUUAAUGAAAUACACCAGUACAAGCCAAGUAGCUUGGAAGGAUUUCAUGAAAAAGGUGGAGUCAUGUAUCAAGGAUUUUUAUGACUGCUUCAAGCUGCAAAAGAGAAAUCUUCCAGAGACUUCUUCCUCGGGGAUCUGUCCCAUUGGGCCUCAAUUUUCGUUCCUAGAGAAACAAUCACAUUGCAACUUCUCUUGUGCAGCCUUGACAACUGAUUGGUAAGAAAAUAUGCGUCGCUCUUCUCGAACCCUGACAAAAUUAUUUCUUCAGAGAGACUCAAGCUUGUCAUAGAAGCUCAAGUUUUUGCUGCUUUGGUUUUUAUCUUCCACUAUUAGUUGUUUUCCUUUCUAAAUCCAAUAAUUUUGACAAGACUCCUUCGAACAGCCUUUGCCGCCAUUUUUAAUUCCGAGUGUUUUUGGAUGGA
Long non-coding RNA from Nematostella vectensis (starlet sea anemone), 1773 nucleotides. RefSeq lists it as uncharacterized. The transcript has 3 exons. NCBI's taxonomy places the organism in Eukaryota, Metazoa, Cnidaria, Anthozoa, Actiniaria, Edwardsiidae. The record is from RefSeq and is a predicted model, not a curated record.